Camelina sativa (false flax) is the source of this 2307-nucleotide long non-coding RNA. RefSeq lists it as uncharacterized. The record is from RefSeq and is a predicted model, not a curated record. NCBI's taxonomy places the organism in Eukaryota, Viridiplantae, Streptophyta, Magnoliopsida, Brassicales, Brassicaceae.
CUUGGAAGGCCACAUGAAUUGAAUAACAACAAGCUUGGCGUCUGUAAGUAUUUGCUUCUCCGCUCGACCUAAUCUUCUUCUUUGCAGCUUCACUCGACCCAGAAAUUUUGCAAAUUUUGGAUAAUCGGUUUUUCUUACUGUUUGAAUUUCUAUCACGAAACUAUUUCCGUCUGAUUGGAGGUAUCGUGAAGCAAGGAGUGGAGAAAAUGGAUAAAUUAAGAGAAACAGCUGCAAAGGUUCUUCAAAGGAUUUUGUAUCACGAAAGGAUUUCCGUCCCAUUCAUUCCUCAUAGAGAAAAAUUGGAAGAGAUUCUUCCCAACAAAGCUGGCUUACAAUGGGCGGUUCCGGCUUUCUCUUUCCCACGUUUUGUGCGGCUAUUAAAGUUCCGUUGUUCCAGCAAAGAGGUGCUGUCUGGAUUAGUAAUUUCGAUUGGAGGAUUACAGGAUUCACUUAGUAAAGCUUCGCUCCUUUGCAUUGCUGGAGUAUAUGAGGGAAGGUGAAGAAGCUAAAGACCUUAAAGAACGACAGUCCGCAUUGUGUGACGACAUUCUCUGGAUACUUCAGGAAUACAAGACACGUGACAGAGUUAUGGUACCCUGUCUAAAGGACACUGUGGUUCGUUGGUCUGCUGUAACUUGACGACUAACAUCUGUUCUGUCUGAAGAGGUGUUGUCAUCUGUUUUUGUAGCUGUUUUCACCUGGAGAGGGCGAUGGUUCAUGGCAUGGGGGUUGUUCGGCCUUAGCUGAACUGGCUCGUAGAGGGUUAUUGCUGCCUAGAAGUUUUCCACAAGUUGUUCCAGUUAUUGUGAAGGCACUUCAUUAUGAUGUUCGCCGAGGUCCACACGGUGUUGUAUCUCAUGUCCGUGAUGCAGCUGUCUAUGUUUGUUGGGCAUUUGGGCGCGCCUAUUCCCACAAAAGAUAUGAAAAAUGUGCUGGAUCAGCUUGCCCCAGAUUUACAUGAUAGUAGGGUUCCGAGGUCAACUGUAGAAGAUCUGCUGCCGCUGCUUUCCAUGGGAUUGACAUAGCUGAUUAUUUUUCCCUUUCUUCUCGGGUGAACUCUUGCUGUUUCCGUUGCUCGGGUAUCUAUAUCCUUUUGUUUUGUGGAUGAAUUACUCUACAACAAGAUCUGCCACUGGGAUAAAUGCUUAAGAGAACUUUGCUGCAUAAGCUCUUGCUGCUCUUGUUAAGUACGAGCCUAAGCACUUUUCCAACUAUGUGCUCGAGUCCUUGUACCCUUUCAACUGAUUUGUGCAUGCGCCAUGGUGCAACAUUGGCAGCUGGAGAGGUCGCGUUAGCUUUGCACCAGUGUGGCUAUGUCCUUUCUGCUGAUAGCCAAAAACGUAUGGCUGGGACUGUCCCUUGCAUUGAGAAAGAACGCCUUCACCGUGGAAAAGGUGGAGAAAUAAUGCGACUGGUCGUCUAUUGAAUGUAUCUCAUUACCGCAUGUGACAUUAGCUGAGAGAACAGAACGGAUCUUGCUUGAUACUCUCUCUCAGAAUAUAAGACAUCCCAAUUCUCAAAUACAGGUACCUAUCUUUCUCUUUCCCACGGUUUGUGCAGCUAUUAAAGUUCCGCUGUUACAGCAAAGAGGUGAUGUCUGGAUUAGUAAUUUCGACUAACAGUCCAAAGAGUCCGCAUUGUGUGACGACAUUCUUACAACACACGUGACCAAAGUUAUGGUACCCGGUCUAAAGACAAUUGAGAUCAUCUUCAGAAGCAAGAUCUUUCUGAAUCAAGAGGUUGGUUUAAGAUUUUACCUCUUUGGAUAAAAAUUGCCAAAGGUAUAAGCAGAUUCUGAACAUUUCCAUACAAAGUUUCUACGCUGGUGCCAUGGAUUCUGUAGCCAUCGAACUAAGACCUUCGAAGGACUUCACAACGUUAAAAGCAGGCCUUGCAAUAUUCCUUGGCCACCGAUACCCAAAGGUUCUUCUCACUUUCAAUCCACAUCUUAAAGGUGGCAGCGGUCCUUCAAAGCGUAAUCCUAGUGGCAGAGGAGAAGAUAGAGAAAGUGGUAUAGAUAAUUUCAGAAUCUUGUUGGGAAGCACACAUGGAUUCGACUAAGACUAAGAGGUUAGAAUUGUGCGAAUUGGCAGAUUUAGACCAUGUUUAAGACAAGAAACAGAUAGCCGGGAUGAAACGACUGCAUCUGGCGAGAACGCGUCUUACUCUUCCUUGGUCCAUUCCUCUGGCUUUUGAUUUUAAGCUUUGUCCUCGAUUCACUUUUGUCUCUCUUGUUUUUAGCACCGUUUUCAUUUUCUUCUUGUUGGUAUUUUCUUCCAAGAUCAUAAUAGAAAGAUAAUCAAAAUA